GGCGGCGUAGCUCAGUUGGUUAGAGCAUACGGUUCAUACCCGUAAUGUCGGUGGUUCGAAUCCACCCGCCGCUACCA
This 77-nucleotide transfer RNA is filed under the name Bacillota bacterium. Its description in RNAcentral is "tRNA-Met". It matches the Rfam family "tRNA". Rfam says of the family: Transfer RNA (tRNA) molecules are approximately 80 nucleotides in length. Their secondary structure includes four short double-helical elements and three loops (D, anti-codon, and T loops). The record is from RNAcentral. Lineage: Bacteria; Bacillati; Bacillota. RNAcentral also lists the same sequence under 1 other name.